Molecule: non-coding RNA, 45 nt
Filed under: Schistosoma mattheei
Lineage: Eukaryota; Metazoa; Platyhelminthes; Trematoda; Strigeidida; Schistosomatidae
Source: RNAcentral
AUUCGACUGACGAGUCUCAAAUAGGACAAAACAUCUGUCCUGGAU